GGGUGACGGGUGCGUGUCUGCAGCCAGCGUUCCGGGUCUCAGAGCUAAGAGCACCGAGAUCAGGAUGUGGGCUGACGUGACAGACUCCACGGCUGCACUAAAACUGUGGUCUUCAGGAAGUCCUGCUCCUGUCCACACACAUCCACUUCGGUUCCUGCCUGGCCGGCCCUUCCACCGUGUUCUUGCUCACAUCCCCAGCGUCCCGUUUACUGGACGCCCAUCCUCUUGGAUGCCUCAUAAAUGUUUGCGCCCAAUAUGGUGACACUGAGCCGGUCACCUGCUGCCCCAUGCUGCCUGCAGACCCCCCCCCCCACAGGACGCCGCGGGGCUCCUUCACGUCACCCAGGCUGUCACCUCGCGCUCCUGGUCUCUCCCACGCCUGCCCCUUCUCCACCCACCAGGUCUUCAGGUGCAGGCCCUCCUUGGGGCUCACUGGUCCAGACCUUCACCUGCACCGUGGUCGGAGUGGACACAGGUCUGACCGGGCCCCUGGGAAGGCCUCUGAUACCUGCCAUGGUCCUCGGGCCACAUUUCGAGUCCCCUGGCUCAGUGCACUGCACGAUAUGCCAUUCCCUGCCUCACGCUGCUGUGUCCCCCUCCCCCCAUCACACGGAAGGGCUCUUCCCACCUCCACUUGCUCUUCCGCCUUGCCCUCUCCCUCUUCCCCACUGACUCCUAGUAAUCCUUCUAGAUUUCGCUUUUGCAAGCACUGUUCCUUCUCCUUCUCCUGGGUGCCCCCCUAGCCCAGGGGCUAACGCCCGCCCUCCUCAGCUUUCAGGGAAGCCUCCGGCGGGGCCCGCGCCCUGCCAGCCCGUGGCAGCUUAUAAAUCCACGGGUCAACGCGGUGCUGGAUGCACGCGUGCCUCCACCACGAGGGCAGCGACCCGACUCCCGCCCCGUGUGUCCCAGGGCCUGCACAUGGGCUGUCAGUAAACAGGCAUUAAAUGAAUGGUGCUCAUUAAACAAGACACCAUUUCCUCUA
This is a long non-coding RNA of Balaenoptera acutorostrata (minke whale), 982 nucleotides long. RefSeq lists it as uncharacterized. The record is from RefSeq and is a predicted model, not a curated record. The transcript has 2 exons. Lineage: Eukaryota; Metazoa; Chordata; Mammalia; Artiodactyla; Balaenopteridae.